CAGGAAAUAGUUUAGUGUAGAAUACUAACUUUGGGAGUUAGUGGUGGAAGUUAAAAUCUUUCUUUUCUGG
RNAcentral lists this transfer RNA (70 nucleotides) under Nematobrycon palmeri (emperor tetra). RNAcentral describes it as "tRNA-Pro". It matches the Rfam family "tRNA". Rfam says of the family: Transfer RNA (tRNA) molecules are approximately 80 nucleotides in length. Lineage: Eukaryota; Metazoa; Chordata; Actinopteri; Characiformes; Acestrorhamphidae. RNAcentral also lists the same sequence under 1 other name. The record is from RNAcentral.